AAGAGGGGGGUAACCACCUCAUCCUCCCUUGAUACCCGAUCCAAACGGGGUCUAAAUGUUUUUGUUUUUACAUUUCCAUCGUUUGUCCUCUACAUUUUUGUCAUGCCCCGCCCGCGACCGCCAAUUUGGUCGCUUCGGGUACGUCGAUUAGACGCCGAACGGACAGAAUCUUUCCUGUCCGCACAAGGCUAACAACAACAAGAUCAUGUAUCUAAACAGUUACCCAGGAAACAUUAACCUCAUAUAUGAUCUAAGCAAGUACUAAUAUAAGCAAUCAACAAAAGAGAGAAAAAUCUAGCUAUUAUAAUUCCAUUCAACAUAUACAUCUAGUUUACAUUUUUCAUCUCUAAAAUGUAUACAUGUUCACCUCAAAAUACAAAAUAGCUCUUCAAUAUAUAUAUCAUCUAUCACUCAUGUACACGAGGGUACUCUAAUGCAAAAGGAAAGCUGUUAGCUAACUAGGGCGCUAUGCCCUUAUCGCGGUCCUCGCCCGGUCCGCUCGAACUCGGCCCUACAACAAAGUGGGGUGAGAACCAUAUAAAUAUAGUUUUCAGUGGGUUCGGACGCCGAGUCCGUCGAUCUUCCCACUAGAUCUAAGCAGGCAUAAGUAGAUAGAUAGAUAUAUGAAAAUGAGCUGCUACAUUGUAACACACUGGACCUUUGCAAAUUGCGAGGUUCGAGUGUUUGAGCUGUGUUCUGAGUUUUUCCGGAUUUUCUGGUGGGUCGUUGAUAGUGUUCCGACCUAUAGCCCAUAUCUCGAGGAUUGUAAUAUUUUAUGUAGCACUAAGACCACCAAAGAGUUGGAUUUAGGCUACCCUCGGAUUGCAUUCUGCUUAUGGUGAAACCGGUGACAGGUCGCUGGUUGUACUGGUACAUUAUUUGUACCGCUACACCUUGAUGGUUGUACCGGUACACUUCUGUUUUUCUGCCAACCCGAGCCUCGGGUUUGCAUUUUCGCGGGAUUUGUACCGGUACACUUUCCCGUGUACCGAUACACUUUGGCAGAUUUUGAGCAGUUUGAACUGUAGGGGUGUUUUUGUAAUUGUGGCUUUCUAUAACAGCCCCCACGCCCCUAGAGCUCUUGUGAGACCCCAGAUAGUCCUAUAUAUGAGAUAUAAUAGGGCUAAACUCUUAACCCGGUUUAAAGAAGGGGAGAUUGUGAGACCCCAUAUAGUCCUAUAUAUGAGAUAUAAUAGGGCUAAACUCUUAACCCGGCUUAAGCAUUUUGGGUGGUGGCAAGGCCUAAGAGGUUAAGAGAGUUAAGCGUGCUAGGACGGGAGUAGUCCUAGGAUGGGUGACCCCCUGGGAAGUUGGGGCGUCACAGCUCUCCCCUGUGCCUUCCAUUUGGAUUUGAUCCCCUUUUAACUUGGAUUUUGGUGUAUUAAACCUCUAUUUUUGCUUCUUUUGCUUGUUAGAGGCUUUCCCACCAUUGGAGCUUAGAUUUGAAGCUUGGUAGAGGGAAGAUCUUUAAAGUUUGAGGACUUAGAACCUUGUUGAAGCCUCUAAAAGGUUAGUAGCAAGAUCUUUUCCUCUAAAUUUGGUUUUUGAAGGUUUCUUUGAGAUGAAACCCAAACCCUAGAAUGGAAACCUAGGGUUGAUUUUGGGCAUUUUUGGAUCUAGGGAUUUUGGAACUCGAUCUUUUGGUUUAGAACCUUCCUCUAGGUUAGAUUGGAAAGGUUCUAGCCCUUUUUUGGAGCUUAAGAAGAGAUUUCUUCUUUGAAUGUGAGUUUUGGCCCUUUUCUUGAGACGGUUAAAGAUCAAGCUUGGGAUUGUUCGUAACAUUCGUUUCUCUCUUCUUUCCUUACCUUUAGGGUACCAGAGGACUUGGGGACAACUUCGUUUGAGCUUACGAAGGGUUCCAAGACGCUUCGGUGGGUUUGACCUAGCCACACAAUGAGAAAAUCUCAUUAGUGAUGAUUUGAGUAUCGUAAAAUAAGAAAGCAUGCAUAAUCAUAUUAGAUGUAAUAUUUAUGAAUUUUAGAAUGCUUAAAAUGCCUAUAUUACAUACAUUGUAUUUUCGGACCUCUAUGAAGUAGAGAACUUGCAUGUGAGGCUUAUGUGUGCAGUAGCAUUCUUAUGAGAGAUUUGGGUUCCUGUUUAUAUAGUAAAAUUGAUAUAUGUAAAGUGCCAUUGGACUUAAACCCUAGUUGGACAUGGAACUAUUAUAAUGCCAUAAAGGGGCAUUGGACUAGAUUGGCAUGCGAACUAGAGAGCUAUCGUCAUUAAGCGGCAUUGAGCUUGGGUUAUGGGGUACCUAGCAGAUAGGGCCAUUGAGAGAAUUGGAACAUGGUUGAACAUCGAAAUGUCUAAGUAUCAUAAAGGGGCACUAGACUUAGUGAAUGUUGGAACUUCACAUUGUGACAUUGAACUAGAUCUUUGGGAUGCUAGUGGCUUUGACCAUGUUAGAGACAUGAUGAUUGGACACUUGAGACAUUGACUACGCUUGUUUGCCAUUUGUGCUCAUUCGCACAUGUUUGUGAGGGUCGCUCCCUACAAGCCGGCACUCCGGAGUUGGCCUACGCGACUUAUGCUCGCUCGUGCGGCAUCGAGAAACCUACGGUGUCGAGAGGGAUAGACUCAUUCCUAGAGUGGGAAUGCUAGAGGUACCACCUACACUUAGGUGGCACAAGCUGGACUACAUUCAUGUAGGUCCCAGAACAUGAUUAAACAAUGACAUUGAACCGGAAAAUGACAAUCACUAUUAGAUAGGCUUAGUAGUUUGAUUACUUUGACACGCUUAUAGCAUAGUGUUGGGACAUGUAGUAUACAUGAUAGUCUUAUUUGUUGCAUCAUUGUAUACUUGGCUGCCAUGAUAGAGCAUAUUCAUCAUAUAUCGAUAUAUUGGAUCAUGAUACCUAUUCGCUUGUUAUGUUGGGACAUGUUAGUCAUGCCUGGACAUACUUCAUUUUGAUUAAGCAAAUGUACAAUACAUUGACAUCAUGUUUAAUUCCAACAUAGUAGCUUAGCAUUUUAAUUAUGCUUUCAUAAAUGCAAUUUAGUUAUUAUUAUCGUUGCUUUUUGGACUUACCCUUUUCUUUUGGGGCCUAGUGGUGCAUUGAGCUGAGGUCAGUAAUUGCCCACUGUGAACUAUAAAUUAUAGUUCUCACACCCUCUGUUUUAUGUCUUAUUUCAGUGCCUUCCACGCCGGGAGAGGCUAGGGACCGCGGAAAGGGUAUCACCUCGAGCUAGCUUGCUAUCGAGGGACACGUUGAUAGGUGGUCUACCUCUCGUUGUUUUCUUUUUGGAGAGGUUGAGAGUUGUAUUCAUGUAUAGGGACCACCCUUUUUUCUGUACCCUUUUGGAGAUGGUUAUUAUCUAACUCUAUGUUUUUCCUUUAUGGUUUAGUUACGCUUUAUUUAUUUUUGUUAUAGAUGAUAGAUGUGUACUUGCUCUGAUAUCUCUAGUUGUAGAUCAUCUUUGGUUUUUAUUUUCCGCUGUUGUUGUAGACGCCUUAUAUGUGUUGACAUAUGGAGGGUCUGGGCGCGCUACUGGGAGGGCCUUCGCCGGUCCUGGGGCGUGACAGAUUAGUUUGGUAUCAGAGCCUAGGGUUGAGUCUUAGUGGACCUAGCAAACCUUAGGCCGGUUGGACUAUAGGAUAUAGACUCGUGAGAGACGAGGUCUAUUUGACUUGUAAGCGAAAGUAUUUCAAUUGGGUUUUACAAUAACUCUAAAAAGUUGGAGUUGGAUCGCAGUGUAUGGCUUCUAACUUCGCGGAGGGUUACGUUGGCGGCCAACAACGUAACAUCGGGAGUUAGUUGUGGAUAAUACUUCAUUACUUUCGCAUUAUUUGGGUAUUGUUAUUUGAGCGAGGAUUCGACAGCGUGGGUUUACUAACUUACGCUUUUAUGAUGUUGUAGUGAUGAUGCCGAUCACACGCUCUUAAUCUGCGGGAGCGGAUAAUGCGGCACAUCUCGAGGAGGUCGAGACCUCCUCUACCUUCAGAUCCGGCGAGGUCCGUGAGUUGAGGGGCCAGCUUGCAGCCCUCACUGAUUUGGUGACGCGACAGGCUGACACGGCGUUUCGGCAGGAGGCGCGGAUAAAGCGCCUGAAGGACCUUCUGCUGCAGCAGGCGGCUGGCAGCCAGGGAGACUCAGGUCCCUACACCACCCACACCAGUGGAGGUGGUGGCACCUAGGGUGUCGUCCCCUGCACUCGACGCUUCUAGGACGGCACCAGUGGCGGCACCUCGGGAGGAGGACAUUGUGGCACCACCAGCGCGAGCACCUAUAGCGGGGGCGGUUUUUCCCAUGAUAGUUGAGGGAGCUAAGCGGGAUCGGCUUAUGGAGCGUCUCAGUGAGUUCAGGAGAUGCAGUCCACGGACCUUCGACGGGGAGAACGUGGACCAUUGGAUUGUAGAGAAAUGGUUGAUGCAUAUGGAGAAGUUGUUUUGGGACACCUUUGUCGAGGAGGAGGAUCGAGUGUGGCUCGCCACACAUCACUUGGACGGCGAGGCCUAUAGAUGGUGGUUGGACAUCUAAGACAACCCCACUACGGAUCUGACGGCGAUUUCAUGGAGGAGGUUCAAGGAACUCCUACUAGAGCAUUACUUCCCUUACAGUGUCAAGAGGAAGAUGGAGCAGGAUUUGCACAAUCUGCGCCAGGGGGACAGGACGGUGGCCGAAUAUGAGAGAGAGUUCUCUCGGCUUCUUCAUUGUGUACUUUUUGUUGUCCGAGAUGACGAGGACAAGGCCCGCAUCUUCCAGCGGGGACUGCGGCCUUCGAUCUUUCGGUUUGUUCAGUCUUCCAACCUCUAAACCUACCGGGAGGUUGUGAACCGCGCGCUCAUAGUGGAGAGCGGCGCGGUAGAUCUGCAGGAGCGGCGAGAAACCUUGGACAAAGGCAAGGGCAAGAGGCCCGCAGCUGAGGGUGCGAGCCAGGUGCACUCAGGGAGGCCGCCGAGACAUCCGAGACACCGGAGCCAGUCGCGAGGACGUGGCCAGUCUACUCAGCGAUGAGGACCUGAUCGACGCCAGGCUCCAUGCUGCGUGAUCUGCAGUGGUCCCCAUUUUCCACUGCAGUGUUCACACAGUCGGGGAAGGUGCUACUUGUGUGGCCAAGAGGGCCACUUCCAGUCGGACUACCCGAGAGGUUCAGCACCGGCGCCAUCUUCUGCAUCUGCACCAGCCUUACCGGGUCCCAGCCAGGGGACACUUUCUGCGCAUCACCAGGCUGGGCGACCGCCAGUUCAGCGGCAGGCGGAGGGGUCACGACAGGCCCCGAGUUGGCGCAUGUACGCGGCCCAGACUGAGGAGGCGGCAGCAGCCGAGAAUAUGGUCGCAGGUAUCAUUUUAUUUUAUGGUAUUCGAGUACGAGCAUUAUUUGAUACCGGUGCAUCGCAUUCAUUCAUAGACCGGCUGUUUGCCGAGUUGCUUGGCAUCCCACUGACAUUUUUGUUGCAUCCGGGACAAGUUGUAGUAUCUGAUCACUCGUUGGAUAUUCGAGAGUUUUGCCCCAGUUGCCUUGUUCGGGUUGGAGAUUGGGUCAUGCCCGUGGACUUGCUAGCUUUGCAUAAACUCGGAGAGUUUGAUGUUAUUUUCGGCAUGGAUUAGUUGACCAAAUACUACGCCAUUAUCGAUUGCAAGAAUUGAACAGUGACAUUUAAAGAGCCGGGGCAGGCGGAGGUUGUGUACCGAGGAUGUCAGAGUUCACUGUUUGUGAUGACGAUUAGCUCCUCUCGAGCUAGACAGUUGAUCAAUAGAGGCUGCGUAGCCUAUUUGGCUACUGUUGUGUUGCGAGCGAUGCAGACGCCCCUAGGAUUGAGGAUAUCCCUGUAGUACGGGAGUUUGGAGAUGUAUUUCCAGCAGAGCUUCCAGGCAUGCCACCUGAUAGAGAGAUUGAAUUUGUGUAGAUCUCGUUCCCGGGACUACCCCAAUCUCAAAGGCACCCUAUAGGAUGGCACCAACGGAACUGAAGGAACUGAAGGUACAGUUGCAAGAUCUUCUGGACAAGGGUUUUGUGCGAACGAGUGUGUCACCUUAUGGAGCACCGGUCCUAUUUGUCAAGAAGAAGGAUGGAUCGCUUCGCUUGUGCGUGGAUUAUCGUGAACUCAAUAAAGUCACGAUCAAGAAUAAGUAUCCAUUACCGAGGAUUGAUGAUUUAUUUGAUCAGCUCCAGGGAUCUAGUGUGUAUUCCAAGAUCGACUUGCAGUCGGGAUACCAUCAGUUGAAGAUCAAGCCUGAGGAUGUGUCGAAAACGGCUUUUAGAACACGGUAUGGACAUUAUGAGUUUACAGUUAUGCCGUUUGGGCUUACUAAUGCCCCGGCAGCUUUUAUGGACUAAUGAACCGUGUUUUCAAGCCUUAUCUAGACAGGUUCGUCGUAGUAUUCAUCGACGACAUUUUGGUCUAUUCCCGAAGUGAUACGGAUCACGAGGAACACUUAAGACUUCUACUUCAAGUGCUUCGGGAAAAGAAGCUCUACGCCAAAAUUGAAGAAGUGUGAGUUUUGGCUUAGAGAGGUGGCGUUUUUGGGCCAUUUGAUUUCAGGAUCAGGUAUAGCUGUAGAUUCGAGAAAAAUUGAAGCCAUCAAGGAUUGGCCGAGGCCUACGAGUGUCACCGAGAUUCGGAGUUUUCUUGGCUUGGCGGGCUACUACCGACGGUUUGUUGAGGGAUUUUCGAGGCUAUCCACUCCCCUCACGAGGCUCACGCAUAAAGGCACCAGGUUUGUUUGGAAUGAUGCGUACGAAAGGAGCUUCCAAGAGUUGAAGCAGAGAUUGACGACCGCCCCGAUCCUGACCUUGCCAACUGCUGGAGCAGGGUAUGUGAUUUAUAGUGAUGCUUCCUUUUAAUGGAUUGGGCUGUGUCUUAAUGCAGGACGGGAAAGUGAUCGCGUAUGCUUCUCGCCAACUGAAGGAUUAUGAAAGAAACUACCCUACUCAUGAUUUGGAGUUGGCGGCCGUGGUCUUUGCAUUAAAGCUAUGGCACCAUUACUUGUACGGCAAGCGAUGCGAAGUAUAUACGGAUCACAAGAGUUUAAAGUAUCUAUUCACUCAGAAGGAGUUGAACUUGAGGCAGCGCAGAUAGUUGGAGCUACUCAAGGAUUAUGAUUUGACGAUACUUUACCAUCCUGGCAAGGCUAACAUGGUGGCGGAUGCGCUAAGUAGGAAAUCGAUGGAAAACUUAGCGAUGCUUGUGGUUACUCAACCGCCGUUGAUCAAGCAGAUGAAGCGGUUGGAGUUGGAGGUGGUGGCUCCUGAUACACCUUUGAGACUGAUGACUUUGGUGGUGCAACCUACACAACCUACACUUGUGGAAAGGAUUAAAGAAAAGCAAGACCCCGAUGUGGAGUUGCAAAGGAUUCGAGCUAAGAUGAUUGAUGGUUGCACCGGUAACUUUUCUGUGGACGGUGUUGGAUUGAUCCAUUUCCGUGGACGGAUCUGUGUACCGGCGAAAUCGGCACUUAGAGAAGAAUUCUUCAAGAGGCACACCGAGCACCGUAUGUUAUACAUCCUGGAGGCACCAAGAUGUACAAGAACUUAAAGUUGCUUUAUUGGUGGCCCGGGAUGAAGAAAGACGUUGGUGAGUUUGUUGCUAGAUGUCUAACUUGCCAACAGGUGAAAGCUGAGCACCGAGUUCCCGUGGAAAAAUUGUAGAGCUUACCGAUUCCGGUGUGGAAAUGGGAGAAGAUCACCAUAGACUUUGUUAUAGGUUUGCCCCGCUCGCAGGCCGGGCAUGAUGCUAUUUGGGUGAUCGUGGAUAGGCUGACGAAAUCGGCACAUUUCGUACCUAUCUACACUAUUUUGACUGUUGAGAGACUCGCACAGGUUUACUUAGAUGAGAUUGUGCGAUUGCACGGGGUACCUACUUCCAUAGUAUCAGAUCGAGUCCCCCGAUUUGUAUUUCACUUUUGGAGGAGUUUACAGGAUGCUUUGGGUACGCGCUUAGACUUAAGUACAGUUUUCCAACCCCAGAGUGACGGGCAAUCAGAGCGCACUAUACAGACUCUUGAGGAUAUGCUUUGAGCCUGUGUGAUAGACUUCCAGUGAGGAUGGUCGCAACAUCUAGCGAUGGCGGAGUUUGCUUAUAACAACAGUUAUCAAGCAAGCAUCAAGAUGACACCUUUCGAGGCACUCUAUGGACGGAAGUGUAGAUCGCCACUUUAUUGGAGUGAAGUUGGCGAGAGAUUGGCUUUAGGCCCAGAUGUGCUCCACGAAGCAGAGGACAAGGUUCGCAUUGCUCGGGAGCGUUUGUUGACAGCCCAGAGUAGGCAAAAGAGUUAUGCUGACAAGCGUCGACGGGAGUUGAAGUUUUAGAUUGGUGAUCAUGUCUUCUUGAAAAUCUCACCGACCAAGGGGAUUAGAAGAUUUGGGAUCCGGGGUAAGUUGAGUCCCCGAUAUAUUGGACCAUAUGAGGUUUUGGAGCGUGUAGGCCUAGUAGCGUAUCGACUUGCCCUACCACCGAACCUAUCGGGUGUACACAAUGUUUUCCACGUAUCAGUCCUCCAGAAGUACAUCCAUGAUCCGGCUCACGUAUUAGAUGCUACACCAUUGGAGCUGAGGGAUGAUUUGAGUUUCUAGGAGCAACCUGUGAGGAUCUUAGCUCGUGAAGUAAAGAGGCUGCGGAACCGCGAGAUCCCUACGUGAAAGUUCUUUGGAGCAACCAUGAUGAGCGCGAGGCCACUUGGGAGUUGGAGAGCGCACUCCGGGAAUGCUAUCCCCAUCAUUUUCAGAUGGAGGCUUGAGGUACUUUACCUUUCGAGUUUUGCGGACGAAACUCCUUUUUAGGAGGGGUGAAUGUAACACACUGGACCUUUGCAAAUUGCGAGGUUCGAGUGUUUAAGCUGUGUUCUGAGUUUUUCCGGAUUUUCUGGUAGGUCGUUGAUAGUGUUUCGACCUAUGGCUCAUAUCUCGAGGAUUGUAGUAUUUUAUGUAG
This 8869-nucleotide long non-coding RNA is filed under the name Ananas comosus (pineapple). RNAcentral describes it as "long non-coding RNA (ACOM_LNC012176)". The record is from RNAcentral. Lineage: Eukaryota; Viridiplantae; Streptophyta; Magnoliopsida; Poales; Bromeliaceae.